RNAcentral lists this transfer RNA (62 nucleotides) under Loxodonta africana (African savanna elephant). It matches the Rfam family "tRNA", at positions 5 to 66 of the family's 71-position model. From Rfam's summary of the family: Transfer RNA (tRNA) molecules are approximately 80 nucleotides in length. Lineage: Eukaryota; Metazoa; Chordata; Mammalia; Proboscidea; Elephantidae. The record is from Rfam by way of RNAcentral.
UGGUGGUUCAGUGGUAGAAUUCUCGCCUUCCGUGUGGUAGACCUGGGUUCGAUUCCCAGCCA